Molecule: long non-coding RNA, 509 nt
Organism: Myotis brandtii (Brandt's bat)
Lineage: Eukaryota; Metazoa; Chordata; Mammalia; Chiroptera; Vespertilionidae
Exons: 2
Source: RefSeq, a predicted model, not a curated record
GAUAUAAUUUGUUUGUAUUUCUUUGAGGUUGAACGUUUCUCCAUUUGUUCAUUUAUAUGGUAUUUCUUGGGUGAGUUUUGUUUCCUGUUCAAUUCACCAGAUCCUAAGCAUCCACCAAGAGCCAGGCCAUCUGCAGACACUGCUUAAAGCAGCCCAGGCAUCUCUGCCCACUCAGAGGAGGGGGAGUGGUCGAUUCAGCAAGUGGGAGAAGGACACAGCUGGGAACGGAGGCUGCUCGGCAGCACGUGGAUUUUCUCACGAUGAUGUGAGGUGUGGAGAGAGGUUCUGUUGUCAGUGACUCAGGUGUCCCAAGCAGCUCUGAUGAAGACCUCGACGUGGGCAGAGCAUGCAGAACAUCUCUGGGUUCUUCCACUUUCUUUCUUUGUUUUGCUCUUUCUUUACAAAGAGAGAACAAAACUUUUCUCGUCAAGACGGAUCAGUUUCCCUGGAAUCUUCCAGUCUAACUUUUGAUGCCUUUCUCUCCUCACAUAAAAGAAAGCCCAUCUCUG